AGUGAACGCUGGCGGUAGGCCUAACACAUGCAAGUCGAACGGCAGCACAGUAAGAGCUUGCGCUUACGGGUGGCGAGUGGCGGACGGGUGAGGAAUACAUCGGAAUCUACUUUUUCGUGGGGGAGAACGUAGGGAAACUUACGCUAAUACCGCAUACGACCUACGGGUGAAAGCAGGGGAUCUUCGGACCUUGCGCGAUUGAAUGAGCCGAUGUCGGAUUAGCUAGUUGGCGGGGUAAAGGCCCACCAAGGCGACGAUCCGUAGCUGGUCUGAGAGGAUGAUCAGCCACACUGGAACUGAGACACGGUCCAGACUCCUACGGGAGGCAGCAGUGGGGAAUAUUGGACAAUGGGCGCAAGCCUGAUCCAGCCAUACCGCGUGGGUGAAGAAGGCCUUCGGGUUGUAAAGCCCUUUUGUUGGGAAAGAAAAGCAGCAGGUUAAUACCCCGCUGUUCUGACGUUACCCAAAGAAUAAGCACCGGCUAACUUCGUG
Molecule: ribosomal RNA, 492 nt
Filed under: uncultured bacterium
Lineage: Bacteria
Description: partial 16S ribosomal RNA
Rfam family: Bacterial small subunit ribosomal RNA
Source: RNAcentral